GGGAAGACGAUUAAAUCAGCCAAUUUUAGGUCGUUUGGGACUAAUCUGUCAUCGGCCAAAACUCGCUGAUUUUCGCAGAUAUUUUCAGAAAUAAAAUGCAGAAAAUGAGAUUCGGUUCCACUUGGAAAAUGUUCCGCCAUCUGAAAAGUUCCCCGAUUUAUCCUGUAGAUGGCGCAGCGAACUCAUGACAAUCUUCAUCCACUAACUACCUCACAGCACAGCAGAGUGACGGAUCUGAAGCAGGCAGCUCAGGGACGCACAGAGGAGAGUGGUCCGCCUCAACGGUAAAUAAACCAGUUUGUGAAAAACACAAUAAGUCAACAAGUUUCAGUUUAACCCACUUCACCAUGUUCCCCGCUGUGCUGGUCUCGGUCACGCCGAGUUAACAGUGAAGCACCAUGUAAUUUGCAAGCUAAAGUUAGAGUUAGCCAUCUGCUAUUAGCCUUGCAACACGGUUAGUAGAAUAAACAACAGUACACAUUAGUGAUCGAGCUACUUCUCUUACUGAGGCAGCUGCAUGUCUCCAGAUGAGACCGGACCGGAAAUGAGUAACGGGAGUUAAGACGUGGAGGCACCGAUUGGCGUCAGGGGGAUAUCUGUAGAUAUCUACAGUAUAUAUUCAUUUUUUAUAACUUCCUAAAAAAAUUAAAAAUAGGACGAUUAAUUGGAUUUUUUCCCCCCCAACAAUCGGUAUCGGCAUCAGACCCAAAAAAUCCAUAUUGUUCGGGCCCUAGUUUACAGUCACCCGAAAUGCUGUUUCCAUGUAGAUUAAACACCGAUACGACAAAAAUGUUUUGCGUUUACCCCUGAUUACGUUUCCGUGUGGACGGGUUGAUACCACCUUCAGACAGACUUCGCAGCGGCGAGUGGUUUGCUCUUUGUUCGAAACUGUGAAGUCGUACCAAUUCCACACGACUGACUUGCUCUUGUCCCAUUUAGCCACGAAAUUAUCGCCAUCUUUAGCAAACGCCAUGUUUGUUUACACUGGUGCGUGUGUGGGAACUGGGGAGCGUUCUUGCAGGAGGGGGGAGCCUACGGUGGCCUGGAGGCACGAGACAUGAUAGAGAGGAAAAUCAAUUUGAGGAUUUUAAUUUUUUAACAUCGUCACAAUCAAAUAAUCUGAUUAUGAUUUAAAAUCGAUUAAUCUGAAGGUUGGCCAUUUUGGUCACCAGGUCUGUGAACCCCAGACUGCUACCGGGAUCUGUGCUAGGCUGUUCCCAAUCAAUCUUAUCCCUCGACAGAAACCAAAUAAAGAUGCACUCAUUCUGGUAGAGCACCUACCUAAGAGGAUAGCUUCGGGGGACAUUUAGCUGCAGUAUGAAUCCCGUGUUUGUUUCCAUCUCUUCUUGUUAGAUCAACCGAAGGAAAAAAGAGAGAGAGGAAGCCAAUGAAAAAUGAAACCAGCAGCUGUGAUGAUGAAAUGUGCAGUGUCAGAUAUAUAUAAUACAUAAACACCUCUCUUCAAAGAUAUUCUGCUUCUCCUCUCUGUGAUGAGAGUCGUUUCUUUAUCGAUUUAUUGCUGAUCCCGGCCGACUUUACAGAGCGUGAACUUAAAAUCUUACAGAAAUUCAUUAUCGAGCUCACUGAGUCGGACUCCUUUCAGGAUAAUACCAAAGUGACAGUUGUUACUGGGAUCUUACUUCGUACAUCUCACUGGGUCUUCAAAUACCAGUUUAUUUGAUGUAACACAGGAAGGUACCUGGGUAACAUGCUGGAGAAAAGUGUGAUAAAAAGCAGCCGGUUUGCUGUUAAAUUGACUUGCUCUGGAUUAGAGGGAUGGGAUUUCUAUCGCAGCGUAUACCUGUACAAAUCAUACAAAUCUUCCCUGACAUAACUCCAGUUUUAAAUGAAAGCUUUGGGGAACGGGAGGGUCCAUCUUAUCUUGACAGUCAAAGGCAGGGAGGGGAUUGGGGAGGGUUGCUGCAGAUCCAAAUGUAUUUUCUACCUCUUUUCACCUCUUUCAGUGGAGUCAAAUGGUCCUGCUUGCUUUAAAUUUAAGGGUCUCCAUCUGACACAGUCAAAGUUAUAACUAGAAAAGGGAGUGGGAAGUUUGUACAAUAUGUUUUAAGUUCCUGUAAAGUGAUCAAAUAGAUCAUGUGGCAUCAGACACUUGACAAUAUCGACUCCAUAGAGUUUCUAUGGAGUCUUAUUAACUUCACUGCUCUGCUGAGACAGGAACACUCACUUCUGAUUGGGCCUUAAAAGGUCAGCUGAUUAAAGAUGCAACUAGGGCUGCGCGAUGAACCAAAGAUUUACAGAUACCAAAAUUUACGACAAUAACUAAUGUCCUUUUGCCCAUGUCAAUAUUUCAGUGUCAAUAAAUAAAUAAAUAAAAGUUGAUUUUGAAUGUGUGUAGGUAGGCUAUGGUCUCAUGUCCCUUUAAGACGCUGUCCUACAUCAGAGACGUGACUCCACCCCAUCCAGUCCGUAACAAAGAGGGAAAGACAGGUGAGGAGACGGAGGACGGUUCAAAAGUUGUAGCGGCUGAAGUAGACGAAGUUAAUGUGGGAGGGGGUGAGCAACUUGUGGAGUAGUUAUCGUCUAUUUAUUGUUAUUGAGAUGAACCGCUCAAUAUAUCUUCAUAUUAAUUUGAGGCCAUAUCGUCCAGCCCUAUAUACAGCCUCUGGUUGGUCGAUGGACCAGAACAGUUUGCAGCCCUCACUAAGCAUGGUAAUCCAGCAACAGAACUCACUCUGUAGAUUAGAUUAGCUCCACUUUGGAUUAACUGGAUCCUGACGGUCUGAAUACACACCAAUCUCCUCUGUGGAUCAGAAAAGUUCAUCACCAGAAAACUGCCGGUCUCACAAAAUGAAUGGAUUUUACUGUUAGUCACACCUUUUCAUUGUGAGAAACACAAUGAUAUUAAAGCAUAAUUUAUGCAUUUUUGUGUGUGAGAAAUUACCGCACAUUGUGUGUUGCUAUCAGUGACUGAAUAACUCAAGCUGUGAAAAACUCAAGUUAUCUGCCUAACGCUGAAAAAAACGACCACAUUGUGACAGAACUGGGUGAAAACAUCAGCUGCGAACUGACAAUUACCAUCUUUCUUUUCUUCCACCCGCUAGCCGCAAAACGCCGCCAACACUUGAGCCUAACACGCAGCGGCACAGUCUGCUACCAGUUCCUUACAGUUAAGUGUGGAAGCGGUGCAUGUGCCGUCAGCUCACACCUCUCAAGUUUGAUGGAUAAAGCACAAAAAAACACAUCUGUUGACUGGCAUUCGAUGGUAAACAGUGAGAAUAUUUAGAGAAAGAGCUGCUGCGUACAGAGCAGAUGUAUUUGUAGCAGCUGUACAGUUACAGUAGAGAAGAUGAUGCUGUAUAGAAACUUUCACAUAUGCCAAUGCUAACAAAAUAGGGGUAUCAUGCUCUUCAGCUGUGAUGGAAGCUGGCACUCAGGUGCAUUAGAAUACAUUAGAGAUAAUGAAUUCCCCUCUCCUGGUUUUCCCCGUCGAGUAGACACCGCAGAGUGAGAAGGUUCGCGCUUCUCUGCGUUCGUAUUUUUCCCUUUUCAUGUGGGAGAGCGACACCGUCACGCCCGUGCCUCUCUGACAAAUGAAAAAUAUAAGCUCGAUGACUACUUUUUUAUUUGUUUCGCACACUUCCUCCUGUGAUUUGUUCGUGGAGCUGGUGUUUUGUACCUGCUCGUUAUUAUUUCUUCCCACACGCUCGGGGAAGAUUACAGGUUUCUCAUGCAAACAAGACGACGACACGAAACAGACAGACACACAAAAGCAGAGUGUGAGGGUAAUGGGUCGCCGCAUAACGAAGCACAACCUUGAGUGCUCAGCCACGCGGAGACAGAAACACAUCAUCGAGUUUAACGUCUAAUUUGUGCCUUUUCUCGCUCCCACACUGUCAGGCAGUCGGAACAGGUGUGCAGACGCAGGUGUGCUUCUGUCCCUGCUUCACCUCUGCAAACACUGAAUCUUAAACUUCACCACCUCUUCCUUCUCCUAAAAUAUGAUAAUCCAGGUUUAAUAAUUACUGUGCUCCUGCUGUGAUGGGCUGGUUUUGUCCUUAAAGGUGAAUGAAGCACGCCUCUUUCUUCCUUCCUUCCUUCCUUCGCAGCAGAGCAUGUCGCUCGACUCCUCGAAAAAUUCUCAACCUCUUUACCUUCAAACUUUACGAGCUCAGACCGGUCUACGACAAAGUUCAGGAGCACAAGGACAAUUCAGAGAGGAGAGCAGGGAGAGGUCCAAGAGGAGGCAAGUGUGUGAGCAUGUGUGAGUGUCUGAAAAGCCAAGGGACGGAGUAAACGCAACUUAAGUAAUUGCUAGCUAGUUUUUAAAAAAAGAAACAACUUAAAAUGCAUUUCAAACAUGAUGUGUAAAUGUUCAGAUAUAGUUCAAAUUUUACAGUUUUAUCGGUGCUGGCCUUUUUUCGAGUCUCCUGCAAAGGGGUCUGCCCAAAGAAAGGCAGUCAUAGAGCUUUGCUUGACCAUGUCCUCCAUUUUUGUAGUUUACUGAGGUUAAAAGCACAUGGAUUAACCAGGCUACGAUGACAGCACCCUCUGCUGGAGCGACCUGACGCACUGGUAUGCUGUAUUAUUAUUCAGGCAAAAACAUAAAGGAUCAGUAUUGAGUGCGUUUCGGCAGUGUCGCAAAUAGGUUGCCAUUCUAAUCAAUGCGCCAUCGCACACAGGACGCGUAACGGCUCCUUAGCACCUCCAUAUCAGAAGCCUAUCAAGCGCAGCUCUGUUAAAGAUACACGCCUAGUCCACUUUUGCUGCUCUACGCCUUCAACACGCGUCAAUCUACACAGAGAAGAUCGUUCUAGACAGGAUGUCAAGCACGAAACAUGGCAUGUCAUCCGGUAAAUAUCAAACACUGACAGAGCGCACUCAAUACGGAUCCUGUAUAUUUUCAGCUUGAAAAGACUGAGUGACAUGUUGGAUCUGGAGCCGGUGGAAAAAACGUAGCAUAAGUGGCAGAAGAGCUCAACUCCUUUAGGUUUUAAUUAAAGUGUACUACAAGUGAAAAACUACCAUUCAAAAAUCAUAUUAACAUCUUAUUUUGGUGCUGCUGUUACAUGUGAGAGUUUCGCUUAUGUGGUUUCCUGUACUUCUCCAGAACUGCAGUUUUAAGCUCUUCUGCAUCAGCUGGAUUUCUCAGGACCGGAGGUUACCGCUCGAGUUGGAAUAAUUCACAAUCUGUUAAAAUCUCUUUUAUCAAAGUUUCACACAGCAGCUCUUCUUUUGUGGAGCUGAGGCUCACUCGGUGACGCGCUUCAAAAUCACUCCAUACAACACCAACCCCAAAGGCGGCCUUUCACUGCACUGAUCACAGCUAUUCAAAUACGGUCUUCCUGCUGCUGGUCUGGUUUUCCCUCGAAGGGCGAAGAGGAUGUUUGUAUUCUUGUGCCACCUCUGUCCGCAGCCAAAACCCAGAGAAAAACCCCAGACUCAUUUUGCCUAAAGAGAUUUCCUCAAUGGGCUUGUCCAUGUGUGGGUAUUUGUUUUCCCAUCCAUGCUGCCACACUUUGCUCAGUGUUAGCCUGUUAUGUGAGCGCGUGCAUGCUUGUAUCGGAGACAAGGCAAUCCAUCUCCGAAGGUCCCAUCUGCGAGCAACAGCCUUGUUUACUUAUCCCUCGACCAGCAGCAGUCUGUCCGCAGGUAAACGAGCAGCCGGGAUGAGCGGGGAGGAGAGGGGGAGGAGGAGGGGAGGAAGGUGGAAGAGGGGUCGGCUUCUGUCUCCAUUCAGGGGAAUAAAUCACUCUUUACAGCGACACCAAACUUCCACACCUCCCACACCCCUCACACGCUGUCUACUCCCCGCUCUGAGCUCAUCUUUCCCUCCUCUUCAUUUUCCCGUAUCCUUCACCGACUCCUCACUCUGAUUUAAUUUACUCGUCCUUCCAAAGUGAUAUCAUCCUCUCCUUUCCUCAUUCCCUCACCUAGCCCCCCAUUCCUCACUCCAUUUCUCCUCACACUUCCUACACCUCUCCUGUCUCCUCGUUUUUCCAAAGCCAUCUUUCCUCCUCCCUCAGACUCCUUCCCUUCUCUCUAUCCGUCCUCUCCAGUUGUCUCUUUCAUCUGGCUGAAGCAUCUUUCAAAGACGAGCCCUCUCCUUCCCUCAAUCUGCUCCGUUUCCUCCUUGGCCCCGACUCUCAUCGCACAUCAUCGUCACAUUUUCUCCGCCGCGUUCUUCCUCCUCUCCGUCUCCAUCGGCGGGCAGGGAACAGCCGGCGUGGAGCUGAUGAGGUGAAGUAUCGCCUCGUGAUGAAUAUUCAUGCCGUCCCGCCAGCCGCUGUCCCUGCUCGCCGCGAUGCCGAGGCCUCCAGCCCGCAGAUGCCACUGUCUAUUUGUCACGGAGCGAGUCGAGACCCACAGGAAGGUUUCUGGUGCCAAGGCCGAGGAGGGAGCGACUGAGUGAGAGCGAGAGAGCCCCCUCCCCUCUUUUGUGUGAAGCAAGCUGGUCCAUCUGAGCCACAUCAAACAAGUGCUCAGCUCUGAGGCAGUGACGGCUCUGUCCUCGUCUGUUUUCUCUGCUGCCCGUCACAGAUAUGAGACACUCAAGGACCAGACAGAGAAUUGCCAAAACAUGUCUGGCGUGGAGCUUUUUCUUUCAACGAGCUGGGUCCUUUUUAUAGUUUUUGUCACCAGUCAGCCUUGAUAAAUGUGCCACUAAAUGUCUUCUCCUGAGCUGCAGUCCAACAGCAGAGGAACCAGAACAGAGAAGGUACCAAAGAAGUCUUAAAAAAGGGAGAUGAUCUGACGCGCAGAUCUGUGGCUGUCCUCAAGACGAGUUACUCCUUCUGACAAAAUUCAGAGGGAAAAAAAACAGUCACAAGCAAAACUGUUUGGAGGUAGUAGAGGACUUUUUCAAGGCUGGAGUGAAAUCACAGAAAAACGGUCAAAAAGUUGUAGAAAUGCACUUGAAACAACAAAUGACAGAGAAUUUCACACAAAACAUCGGAUUGUGUAGUGAUCCAGACUCCACAAGCAUUUACAAUCAACAUGACAACUUUAAAAGUCCUGAAAGGAAAGUGAUCGCAAGAAGUAUAACAGCUUGAAAAUGUAGGUUUCUCUCUCAUCAAAGGUGAGGGAAGCUUAUUAAAGACGUACCAACCGCAGAUGAAGCAUAAAAUGAUAAAAACAACAGCAUUUGAAGGUCCAGAACUACAGGAAUUCACAUCUCUGUUUCAUACAAAACAAUCAUUAUAAUCAUGGCUAUCCCAAAUAGCAUCAGUAUCUCUGUGUGUCUGAAAAG
Xyrichtys novacula (pearly razorfish) is the source of this 7207-nucleotide non-coding RNA. Lineage: Eukaryota; Metazoa; Chordata; Actinopteri; Labriformes; Labridae. The record is from the annotation of a GenBank genome assembly.